GACGAACGCUGGCGGCGUGCUUAACACAUGCAAGUCGAACGGAAAGGCCCUGCUUUUGUGGGGUGCUCGAGUGGCGAACGGGUGAGUAACACGUGAGUAACCUGCCCUUGACUUUGGGAUAACUUCAGGAAACUGGGGCUAAUACCGGAUAGGAGCUCCUGCUGCAUGGUGGGGGUUGGAAAGUUUCGGCGGUUGGGGAUGGACUCGCGGCUUAUCAGCUUGUUGGUGGGGUAGUGGCUUACCAAGGCUUUGACGGGUAGCCGGCCUGAGAGGGUGACCGGCCACAUUGGGACUGAGAUACGGCCCAGACUCCUACGGGAGGCAGCAGUGGGGAAUAUUGCACAGUGGGCGGAAGCCUGAUGCAGCAACGCCGCGUGCGGGAUGACGGCCUUCGGGUUGUAAACCGCUUUCGCCUGUGACGAAGCGUGAGUGACGGUAAUGGGUAAAGGAGCACCGGCUAACUACGUG
This 468-nucleotide ribosomal RNA is filed under the name uncultured bacterium. RNAcentral's name for it is "partial 16S ribosomal RNA". It matches the Rfam family "Bacterial small subunit ribosomal RNA", at positions 28 to 507 of the family's 1533-position model. The record is from RNAcentral.